RNAcentral lists this unclassified non-coding RNA (214 nucleotides) under Hevea brasiliensis (rubber tree). The record is from RNAcentral. Lineage: Eukaryota; Viridiplantae; Streptophyta; Magnoliopsida; Malpighiales; Euphorbiaceae.
UAAAAGUAUGCUCAAUCUAACCACUUAAGCUUUUAAAUGAGAUGGUCACACACUUUAACGUGGUAUCAGAGCAGGACUCAUCUCACCAAAUGUUGGGACCCCCAAAAUCAAAAUUGCCCACGCACCAAAUGCUAAGCAUGGGCAUGAGGUUGGGUGAUAAAGAAUGACAAAAGUUCCACAUUUGCGGUUAAUAAGAUAAGUGAAUCCUUAUAAG